UGGGGGAUAUUGCACAAUGGGGGAAACCCUGAUGCAGCGACGCCGCGUGGGUGAAGAAGCGCCUCGGCGCGUAAAGCCCUGUCAGCAGGGAAGAAAAUGCGGUACCUGAAGAAGAAGCCCCGGCUAACUACUUGCC
RNAcentral lists this ribosomal RNA (136 nucleotides) under uncultured bacterium. RNAcentral's name for it is "partial 16S ribosomal RNA". It matches the Rfam family "Bacterial small subunit ribosomal RNA", at positions 355 to 509 of the family's 1533-position model. The record is from RNAcentral.